UACGUAGGGUGCAAGCGUUAAUCGGAAUUACUGGGCGUAAAGCGCGCGCAGGCGGUUAUGUAAGUCAGGUGUGAAAUCUCAGGGCUUAACCUUGGAACUGCAUUUGUGACUGCAUAGCUAGAGUACGGUAGAGGGGGAUGGAAUUCCGCGUGUAGCAGUGAAAUGCGUAGAUAUGCGGAGGAACACCGAUGGCGAAGGCAAUCCCCUGGACCUGUACUGACGCUCAUGCACGAAAGCGUGGGGAGCAAACAGG
RNAcentral lists this ribosomal RNA (253 nucleotides) under uncultured bacterium. RNAcentral describes it as "partial 16S ribosomal RNA". It matches the Rfam family "Bacterial small subunit ribosomal RNA", at positions 524 to 776 of the family's 1533-position model. The record is from RNAcentral.